RNAcentral lists this ribosomal RNA (235 nucleotides) under uncultured Staphylococcus sp. RNAcentral's name for it is "partial 16S ribosomal RNA". It matches the Rfam family "Bacterial small subunit ribosomal RNA", at positions 105 to 334 of the family's 1533-position model. The record is from RNAcentral. Lineage: Bacteria; Bacillati; Bacillota; Bacilli; Caryophanales; Staphylococcaceae.
GGCGAGUAACACGUGGAUAACCUACCUAUAAGACUGGGAUAACUUCGGGAAACCGGAGCUAAUACCGGAUAAUAUUUUGAACCGCAUGGUUCAAAAGUGAAAGACGGUCUUGCUGUCACUUAUAGAUGGAUCCGCGCUGCAUUAGCUAGUUGGUAAGGUAGCGGCUUACCAAGGCAACGAUGCAUAGCCGACCUGAGAGGGUGAUCGGCCACACUGGAACUGAGACACGGUCCAG